GAUGAACGCUGGCGGCGUGCCUAAUACAUGCAAGUCGAGCGAAAAGACGAGGAGCUUGCUCCUCUGACGUUAGCGGCGGACGGGUGAGUCACACGAGGAUCACCUACUUAUAAGACUGGGAUAACUUCGGGAAACCGGAGCUAAUACCGGAUAAUCUACUGAACCGCAUGGUUCAAUAGUGAAAGACGGCUUUGCUGUCUCUUCUCGAGGCAUCCGGGCCGCAUUAGCUAGUUGGUACGGUAAAGGCUUAUCAAGGCUAGGAUGCGUAGCCGACGUGCGAGGGUGAUCGGCGACACUGGAACGGAGACACGGUCCAGAGUCCUACGGGAGGCAGCAGUAGGGAAUCGUCCGCAGUAGGCGAAAGCCUGGCGGAGCAACGGCGCGUGAGUGAUGAAGGUGCUCGGAUCGUGAAACUCUGUUAUGAGGGAAGAACAAAUGUGUAAGGAGCUAUGCACGUCUUGACGGUACCUAGUCAGAAAGCCACGGCUAACUACGUG
This 497-nucleotide ribosomal RNA is filed under the name uncultured bacterium. Its description in RNAcentral is "partial 16S ribosomal RNA". It matches the Rfam family "Bacterial small subunit ribosomal RNA", at positions 28 to 507 of the family's 1533-position model. The record is from RNAcentral.